This is a microRNA precursor of Cebus imitator (Panamanian white-faced capuchin), 90 nucleotides long. The record is from Ensembl. Lineage: Eukaryota; Metazoa; Chordata; Mammalia; Primates; Cebidae.
CGGGCGGGGCGGGUCCGGCCGCCUUCUAGCCCGGCUUGCAGCCCCCGGCCUUAAAGCGCGGGCUGCCCGGAGGGGUUGGCUUUCCCACCG